AUGUGUGAUGAAAUGAGCUCAAAAUCACAAAAGAAGCAAAAAGACCACUAAUUCUACCAUAAAUACAAGAAAAGGAACAAAAGUGGACUGCCCGGACCCUCAACGGCACCUCCCAAGACAAAGAGAAGAAAACAGAGUCUGAACACGCCCCGUGUCCAGAUGAAAUGAGCUCAAAAUCACAAAAGAAGCAAAAAGACCACUAAUUCUACCAUAAAUACAAGAAAAGGAACAAAAGUGGACUGCCCGGACCCUCAACGGCACCUCCCAAGACAAAGAGAAGAAAACAGAGUCUGAACACGCCCCGUGUCCAGCGAACACGGGGGCGUGCCCAGGAAGCAGCAGAAAAGACAAACCAGUAGAAGCUUCCAUUGCUCACCACGGGGCCGUGCCCAGCGGGCACGGGGGCGUGUUGAAAGUACAGCAGGCGCAUUAAUUGUAAUUCGCAAUUACAAUUAAUGAAG
RNAcentral lists this long non-coding RNA (461 nucleotides) under Helianthus annuus (common sunflower). RNAcentral describes it as "sRNA HanXRQr2_Chr14g0632301". The record is from RNAcentral. Lineage: Eukaryota; Viridiplantae; Streptophyta; Magnoliopsida; Asterales; Asteraceae.